AGGCGGGACCGGGAGCAGAGACUGGCCCCGAGUUAGAGAAGAGGGUGAAGGGAGAUGCAGAACGCCACUCCGUUAGGUUUAUAGCUGGGAGGUAUAUGAGAGCAGGGCUGAGCCACAUAGUGGAGUUGCCCACUAGAAGCCCAGAACGGCUGACCUGAAUCUGAUACUGGGUUGAAGCACACACUCUUAUAAACUCACCUAAGAGGAGCAAAAAGGGCAAAAGAAGCAGCAGGAGCUUCCAGAGUUUG
Long non-coding RNA from Thunnus maccoyii (southern bluefin tuna), 248 nucleotides. RefSeq lists it as uncharacterized. The record is from RefSeq and is a predicted model, not a curated record. The transcript is spliced from 3 exons. NCBI's taxonomy places the organism in Eukaryota, Metazoa, Chordata, Actinopteri, Scombriformes, Scombridae.